GAUGAACGCUGGCGGCGUGCUUAACACAUGCAAGUCGAACGGACAGGCCCUGCUCUUGUGCGGUGCUCGUGUGGCGCACGGGUGAGUAACACGUGUGUAACCUGUACCUGUCUUUGGGAUAUAUUUUCGAAAAUGGGGCUCAUAUCGCAUAGGAUCUCUUGCUCCACGGUGGGCGAUGGAAAGAUUCGGCGGUUCGGGAUGGACUCGCGGCUUCUCAGCUUGAUGGUGGGGUAGUGGCUUACCCAGGCUUUGACGGGUAGCCGGCCUGAGCGGGUGACCAGCCACAUUGGGACUGAGAUACGGCCAAGACUCCUACGGGAGGCAGCAGGGGCGAAUAUUGCACAAUGGGCGGAAGCCUGAUGCAGCAACGCCGCGGGCUGGAUGACGGCCGUCGUGUUGUAAACCGCUUUCGCCUGGGACGAAGCGUGAGUGACGGUGAUGGGUAAAGAAGCACCGGCUAACUACGUG
RNAcentral lists this ribosomal RNA (468 nucleotides) under uncultured bacterium. RNAcentral describes it as "partial 16S ribosomal RNA". It matches the Rfam family "Bacterial small subunit ribosomal RNA", at positions 28 to 507 of the family's 1533-position model. The record is from RNAcentral.